RNAcentral lists this ribosomal RNA (1396 nucleotides) under uncultured Verrucomicrobiota bacterium. RNAcentral describes it as "bacterial SSU rRNA". It matches the Rfam family "Bacterial small subunit ribosomal RNA". Lineage: Bacteria; Pseudomonadati; Verrucomicrobiota. The record is from RNAcentral.
UGCAAGUCGAGCGAGGUUAUUUGAGAAGUUUACUUAUCAAAUAACUUAGCGGCGAACGGGUGAGUAACACGUGAAUAAUCUACCUUGAAGAGUGGGAUAGCCCUUGGAAACGAGGAUUAAUACCGCAUGUGGUCGAGAGACUAAAGCAGCAAUGCGCUUCGAGAUGAGUUCGCGCCCUAUUAGCUAGUUGGUAGAGUAAGAGCCUACCAAGGCAAUGAUAGGUAGCCGGUCUGAGAGGAUGUCCGGCCACACUGGAACUGAGACACGGUCCAGACACCUACGGGUGGCAGCAGUCGAGAAUCAUUCACAAUGGGGGAAACCCUGAUGGUGCGACGCCGCGUGGGGGAAGAAGGUCUUCGGAUUGUAAACCCCUGUCAUGUGGGAGCAAGACUCGUGAGAGUUUGAUAGUACCACAAGAGGAAGAGACGGCUAACUCUGUGCCAGCAGCCGCGGUAAUACAGAGGUCUCAAGCGUUAUUCGGAAUCACUGGGCGUAAAGAGUACGUAGGCGGUAAAGUAAGUCUGAUGUGAAAUGUACGGGCUCAACCUGUAGACUGCAUUGGAUACUGCGUUACUAGAGCAAUGGAGGGGAAACCGGAAUUCUCGGUGUAGCAGUGAAAUGCGUAGAUAUCGAGAGGAAGACUCGUGGCGAAGGCGGGUUUCUGGACAUUUGCUGACGCUGAGGUACGAAGGCUAGGGUAGCGAAAGGGAUUAGAUACCCCUGUAGUCCUAGCAGUAAACGGUGCACGCUUGGUGUGUGAGGAAUCGACCCCUUACGUGCCGGAGCUAACGCGUUAAGCGUGCCGCCUGGGGAGUACGGUCGCAAGACUAAAACUCAAAGAAAUUGACGGGGACCCGCACAAGCGGUGGAGUAUGUGGCUUAAUUCGAUGCAACGCGAAGAACCUUACCUAGGCUUGACAUAUAAUGAAAAGCAUGUGAAAGCAUGUGACUCUACGGAGGCGUUAUACAGGUGCUGCAUGGCCGUCGUCAGCUCGUGUCGUGAGAUGUUUGGUUAAGUCCAGCAACGAGCGCAACCCCUGCGACUAGUUACCAGCAAGUAAAGUUGGGGACUCUAGUAGGACUGCCCAGAUCAACUGGGAGGAAGGUGGGGACGACGUCAGGUCAGUAUGGCCCUUAUGCCUAGGGCUGCACACGUACUACAAUGGGUAGAACAGAGGGAACCAAGACCGCGAGGUGGAGGAAAUCCCUGAAAACUAUCCUCAGUUCGGAUUGUAGGCUGCAACUCGCCUACAUGAAGCCGGAAUCGCUAGUAAUGGCGCAUCAGCAGUUGGUGCCGUGAAUACGUUCCCGGGUCUUGUACACACCGCCCGUCACAUCAUGGAAGCCGGUCGCACCCGAAGCGUCUAAAGCCAACCGUAAGGAGGCAGGAUCGAAG